This 284-nucleotide long non-coding RNA is filed under the name Elaeis guineensis (African oil palm). Its description in RNAcentral is "long non-coding RNA (EGUI_LNC042628)". The record is from RNAcentral. Lineage: Eukaryota; Viridiplantae; Streptophyta; Magnoliopsida; Arecales; Arecaceae.
UGGUAAUGUUAGAAAUCUUCCUAUAGCUUGUUUAUCAUCUUUAGAUCCUGAUAUAGAUCGAUUUUUGAAGAUGAACCAUCCUUGAGAAUUAAACUAGCUUCAAGAAUAGUAGUAUUGGUUGUCUUCAGUAGAUAGUGGUAAUCAUCUGGUUGUGAAAGUGGCUAAUAGAAGAGCCACUAGAUUGUACCAGCAAAGAAAAUUUUUCUACCAAAAGAUUGGUAGAGGGGUUAGUAAAAUUUUUUUUUUGUUACAAAGCUCAACCUUUCAAAAUGAGUUGGUUGAGU